RNAcentral lists this ribosomal RNA (468 nucleotides) under Aeromonas sp. AE63. RNAcentral's name for it is "bacterial SSU rRNA". It matches the Rfam family "Bacterial small subunit ribosomal RNA", at positions 30 to 484 of the family's 1533-position model. The record is from RNAcentral. Lineage: Bacteria; Pseudomonadati; Pseudomonadota; Gammaproteobacteria; Aeromonadales; Aeromonadaceae.
AUUGAACGCUGGCGGCAGGCCUAACACAUGCAAGUCGAGCGGCAGCGGGAAAGUAGCUUGCUACUUUUGCCGGCGAGCGGCGGACGGGUGAGUAAUGCCUGGGGAUCUGCCCAGUCGAGGGGGAUAACUACUGGAAACGGUAGCUAAUACCGCAUACGCCCUACGGGGGAAAGCAGGGGACCUUCGGGCCUUGCGCGAUUGGAUGAACCCAGGUGGGAUUAGCUAGUUGGUGAGGUAAUGGCUCACCAAGGCGACGAUCCCUAGCUGGUCUGAGAGGAUGAUCAGCCACACUGGAACUGAGACACGGUCCAGACUCCUACGGGAGGCAGCAGUGGGGAAUAUUGCACAAUGGGGGAAACCCUGAUGCAGCCAUGCCGCGUGUGUGAAGAAGGCCUUCGGGUUGUAAAGCACUUUCAGCGAGGAGGAAAGGUUGAUAGCUAAUAACUGCCAGCUGUGACGUACUCGCAG